CGCCCUUGCCAGUUACAGCAGGAUAUACACAGAGAUUAAAACUACAAUUGCGGGCGAACGGCUGCGCGGAUCAGACCAAGAUGCUGUUAACCCUGAAACCCUCUUGUCCCCUGAGUCAGUUUGGUGUGUUGAAUGGAUUAUGUCGCUGAAUUACAAUUGUAAAGGGAUGUAGAAGCUGCUGGAGCACCCAGUCUUUCUGCCACAUAGGAAAAUGCCAAUAUUAUAAAUAACAAAUGAAAAAUAGACAACGAGAAAGUAGAAUGCAUAUAAUGCCGACAGAAGACUGCAAUCAAGAAAUAAUAUUUAACCGAACAAAGUAUGCAAUAGCGAUAAUGGAUAUUUCAUUGGCACCUACAAAAUAGUUUGUAGGCAGGACAAGCACUCCUCUCUGCUCACUCAGUCCUGUCAGACUGCAGCAUGGAAACAGAGCGGAGGGUGUUACAGAGUAGCCUGUAGUGAUUGGCUGAAGAGACCCAGCACAGCAGACUCAGGGAGGA
This is a long non-coding RNA of Hyla sarda, 497 nucleotides long. RefSeq lists it as uncharacterized. NCBI's taxonomy places the organism in Eukaryota, Metazoa, Chordata, Amphibia, Anura, Hylidae. The record is from RefSeq and is a predicted model, not a curated record. The transcript has 5 exons.